Molecule: non-coding RNA, 118 nt
Organism: Plectosphaerella plurivora
Lineage: Eukaryota; Fungi; Ascomycota; Sordariomycetes; Glomerellales; Plectosphaerellaceae
Source: the annotation of a GenBank genome assembly
GCCCGGCUGGCGCAAUCGGCUAGCGCAUAUGACUUCUACCUGUAUCUAACGGUAUAAUCGUGUCCACCGGUCAUGAGCGGUGAUCAUAAGGUUCGGGGUUCGAGUCCCCGGUUGGGUU